UGUCUACAAUGUGAGAUUCUGGAUAGAUC
Molecule: non-coding RNA, 29 nt
Filed under: Rattus norvegicus (Norway rat)
Lineage: Eukaryota; Metazoa; Chordata; Mammalia; Rodentia; Muridae
Source: RNAcentral